GAUGAACGCUGGCGGCGUGCCUAAUACAUGCAAGUCGAGCGAACGGACGAGAAUCUUGCUUCUCUGAUGUUAGCGGCGGACGGGUGAUUAACACGUGCAUAACCUACCUAUAAGACUGGGAUAACUUCGGGAAACCGGAGCUAAUACCGGAUAAUAUUUUGAACCGCAUGGUUCAAAAGUGAAAGACGUUCUUUCUGUCACUUAUAGAUGGAUCCUCGCUGCAUUAGCUAGUUGGUAAGGUAACGGCUUACCAAGGCAACGAUGCAUAGCCGACCUGAGAGGGUGAUCGGCCACACUGGAACUGAGACACGGUCCAGACUCCUAAGGGAGGCAGCAGUAGGGAAUCUUCGGCAAUGGGCGAAAGCCUGACGGAGCAACGCCGCGUGAGUGAUGAAGGUCUUCGGAUCGUAAAACUCUGUUAUUAGGGAAGAACAUAUGUGUAAGAAACUGUGCACAGCUUGACGGUACCUAAUCAGAAAGCAACGGCUAACUACGUG
RNAcentral lists this ribosomal RNA (497 nucleotides) under uncultured bacterium. RNAcentral describes it as "partial 16S ribosomal RNA". It matches the Rfam family "Bacterial small subunit ribosomal RNA", at positions 28 to 507 of the family's 1533-position model. The record is from RNAcentral.